This 1047-nucleotide ribosomal RNA is filed under the name Triticum aestivum (bread wheat). RNAcentral describes it as "partial small subunit ribosomal RNA". Lineage: Eukaryota; Viridiplantae; Streptophyta; Magnoliopsida; Poales; Poaceae. The record is from RNAcentral.
AUGUCUGCUGCAUCGGGCUAUGUUGAUGUCCCUCGCUGUCCGGUGAUCUUUGAUGGUACUAACUACACCGAGUUCACUGGCUUUAUGCGCAUUCACAUGCGUGGCAUCCGUCUCUGGGGUGUUCUUUCUGGCGAGGUCUGCUGUCUGCCACGUCCAGUUCCUCCGGUGGCCUCUACUCCGCCGACUCCACUGGUUCUUCCUACGGAUGCUAAUCAGGCCGCCAAGAAUGCGGCUAAGCUUGCUGAUGAGGCUGCUGAUCGUGCGUAUGAUGAGAGGGUUUUGGCUUAUGAGGAUGCUCUUCAGACUUAUCAUGGUGCUUUGUCUGUUUACACCCAGUGGCUUGAUGAUGAUGCUCGUGCUGCAGCUAUUCUCACUGCUAGUGUUCUGCCUCAGUUUGCUUCUGAGUUUCUGGGUCUUCCUACUGCCUUUGAGAUGUGGACCUGUCUUCGUCAGCGCUACGAGCCCUCUGGUGAUGCCUUAUACCUUUCUGUGGUCCGUCAGGAGCAUGCUCUUCAGCAGGGUGACUCUACUGUUGAUGACUUCUAUGCACAGAGUUAUGCUAUCUGGCGCCAGCUUGAUUCUCUCCGCAGUGCUGGUUGUUGUACUUGCCCCUGUUGCCAGGCUGUCAAGGCCAAUUUGGAGUUUCAUCGCGUCUACGAGUUCCUGUCUCAGCUCCGUAAGGAGUUUGAGCCCCGGCGUGCUCAGUUGUUUGCUCGUGCCGUAUUUAUCUCAUGUAGGCCCUUUCUGAGAUUCGUGCUGAGGAGACUCGCUUACGUGGUGCUGGUUUGCUGGAGGUUCCCUCUGUGCUCGCUACUCGGGCUCCUUCUACGCCACCUGCUGCACCGACCCCUUCUCGCUCGAGUGCUCCGCCGCUCUUGCCCACUCCUUCUGGAGGCUCAGGUCGCCCCCGUCCACAUUGCGACUAUUGCAACAAUGAUGGUCAUAUUGAGUCCCAGUGCUACACAAAGAAGAAACACCUGCGCAAGGCACGAUCAUCAUCUUCAGGGACUUCGUCAUCUACCUCGACAGCUUCAGCCAUUGCUUUGA